RNAcentral lists this long non-coding RNA (1186 nucleotides) under Piliocolobus tephrosceles (Ugandan red Colobus). Its description in RNAcentral is "lncRNA (ENSPTEG00000002833.1)". The record is from RNAcentral. Lineage: Eukaryota; Metazoa; Chordata; Mammalia; Primates; Cercopithecidae.
UUUUUUUUUUUUUUUUUUUAAUUAAGUUAUUUGUUUAAAAAUUAACAAAUUAAUUAGACUAUUUAUUUUACAAUUUCUUUAUUUUUACUACUCGUCUAUUUUUCAUAACACUUUUUAACACCACUGUUCAUAUUUGUACCAACAUACACAUAUUAAUACAUAUUGUAUUUUUGUUAUAUAUAUUGUAUUGUGUUGUAUAUGUUGUAUGUAUUGUAUUGUUUUUUUUUUUUUUUUUUUUGUACUUGGAACUUGUAACUAAAUAUUCAUAUAUAUAUAUAUAUGUAUAUACAUACAUUACAUGUGCAAAGCUUAAAAUUAUCAAAUUAAAUAAGAUUCUAAAAACAUGUCAAAAAAAAAAUGUUAUUAUUAUAUAUAAUUUUUGUCGUCUUACCAUUUCUCAUAUUUUCUUAUUUCGUAUAUAAAAAUGUUUGUACUAUUAUUAACGAAAAAAAUAAAAGAAACGAGUUUUUCAGUAACUUAGCAUUUGAAAACAAGCAGUAUACUGCUUUUGAAAACUUUGUCAAAAAAUAUGAAAUUGAAAAAUAUAAAUAUUAUUUAAAAGUUGUUAGAAAUAUUGAAGUAAAUUAUAAUAUGGAAAUACUUGAAAAGUUAAUUACAGAAAAUAAUGAAUUAGAAAAAAAAAAACGAGGAAUAUAUACAAAAUUUAUUAAAUAAUAUUGAUAAAGAUGAUAAAUAUGUACAGGAUAAUGAAAUAAAAAACCCUCAAAAUAGUUGGAUGAGAAAAUUAGCUAAUGAAGACAUAGUAAAGUUAAAAGUUUCCCUUUUAAAGAAAGCAAUUUGUUUUAUUCCAAUUUGUAAUAAAUUAUUUCAGGACAAAAAUAAAAGACAUUUGUUAUAUAAUAACUAUUAUAUUGAUGAUAAAAUGUCUAAAGAGCUAGAUGGCCAAUGUGCUGAGUUUUUAGAAGAAUUCGAUUUUAUUAUAUAUGAAGCCAAUUGUCUAUCACCUAACUGGGGCGAAACAAUUAUAGUAGACGCGUACAAAAUUUAUCAUCAUAACAAAUUAAAAAACGAUGAAGAAAAAAAAAAGAAAGACUUACAAAAAAGUUUGAUAAAAAAACAAAAACAGAAGGAAAAAAAAAUAAAGAUUGAUACAGAUAAAGCAAAUGAAUUGGCCAAUCAAUUAAUUCAAGUAAGUAUAAAAAAAAAAAAUAAAAAAAAAAAAAAA